GGGCACAGGAUGGGGAGGGGAAGAAAAAGAGGGCUCCACGGGAGCAGACAGAAUUACCUCCUGGAUAGCACUUAGGAAAUCAUCUAAUCCAACCCCUUGCAUUACAUUUGAGGAAACUGAGGCACAGAGAGGAGAUGGGUCUCCAUGGUGGUAGAGAUCAGGAAAAUGAGCCAGAGAGAAGUGCUCUGUUCAAAUCACACAUUCAAGCGAAACGUCAGAGUCCGGCUCCAGGGUCAUGUGGAAAUGCCAUUAAAGAUAAGCAGUGGGAGCCUGAAGAAGAGAGCUGCUCGGGACUAGAACCCCUGCCAGCUCCGUAGAUCCACCAGGUGGGCCUCAGCAGGCGCUGUUGUCGGCAGGGGUUAUGGAGGAUCCAGACGCAGGAGCAUUACUUUGCCCUGAAUAAGCAUAUGCAAUAUUGACAGAAAACUGCCCAUUGAAAAGAUUUUUAAAGGUGGAAUCUCUUACCAAAGGGGAUUUUGAUGCCCAAUAGUCAUCAGAAAAGUGAAAAAAUUCACGCUCCAUGGAGCUAAAAACUGUCUCCCUAGGGAGAUGGGAAAAGCAGUCCCCAAAAUAAAAAAG
RNAcentral lists this long non-coding RNA (579 nucleotides) under Equus caballus (horse). Its description in RNAcentral is "lncRNA (ENSECAG00000054431.1)". The record is from RNAcentral. Lineage: Eukaryota; Metazoa; Chordata; Mammalia; Perissodactyla; Equidae.